This is a long non-coding RNA of Bombus pyrosoma, 3179 nucleotides long. RefSeq lists it as uncharacterized. The record is from RefSeq and is a predicted model, not a curated record. Lineage: Eukaryota; Metazoa; Arthropoda; Insecta; Hymenoptera; Apidae. The transcript has 5 exons.
CGGUGGCAAACAUAUUGAGUAUUGAGCUUUGAACAUUAGGCUUUGAGUACUGCGUUUUGAGUAUUGAGUAUUGAGCGUUGAGUAUUUUGCUUCGAGUAUUGAGCAUUGAGCAUCGGACUUCUCAUGGAAAUGUUUUAAUUAGUUCUGCAGAGCUACGAAGAGUUCUAUCAUCGUCCUGCAACAAACGUGUACUCCUAUUUACGUCCUUCGAAACUGUGUCAAUGCAUUGAUCCUUCCAUUCUUCCCGGCAAAAAGACCAAGCAAGUGACAACGGAAAAUGCUGCGAUUGCCUGGCCGUAUCCCAAACCUAAGACAGCAUUUAUAUCAACAAUAUCCGAUUUUUAUUCUAAGAAGCAUUAAAAGAUAUUUGUCAAUUGUGCAAGAAAUUAUUGGAAUAAUUGUAAGUGAACUCUCACAUACUUUUCUAUAACCUUGAAUAACUUUUCGUACAAAAAUUUUUAAUAAUUCCGGCGAAAACUCGGCCAAAUUUAUAGAAAUAUGGAAAUUAAUUAUAUCGACUACAUUAAUAGAACGUGCAACCAGCGAUAUCCUGGUACAACAUAAUGCGCGUCAAGGACAGAAAUACUUCUUUGUCUAACUUUAUAUAUUUUCAUUAAUUACCCUUAUCCCUUAAGUUAAUACAGUUUUGAAAUUGUAAAAUAAAGAUCAGGGUGCAAGUAAUAUUCCCAUACAAUUUUAGAACGGGAUAUUUGUUUAAUCAGUCACUAGUUAUUAUUGUAGUUGCAGAUUACUGUAUAUCUGCAUGUUUUUUUGCAGAAUCUCUAUAAAGAAGAACUUUUAUAUAUAUUCAUUGAUCUGUAAGAAACGAAUGAAACUAAAAUAAAUAAUUAAUCAGCUAUUAACAAUUAUUGUAACAAGUGGCAUGACUACUGCGAUACAUAUGUCCGAUUUCUUAUCAAUAUUAAUAUUAAUGCUAAACUUUAUUACGUAAAAUUAAUUACGUAUAACGUGAAUUCUGUGAAAAUGCAUGGCCUCACUCUUAUGCAACGACUCCAUGUGAUAAUUGUUAAUGACUAUUUGAACAAAAAUUCUGCUAUAAAAUUCUGUGUAAGAAUUCGUUGCGUUGAGAUCUUUAUUACACGACUUUAUUAUACAAUUCCAAAAGUGGACGAACUCUUUCCUGAAAGAAAAGCAAUUAACGAAUAUUCAAUAAAUUAGAUGCAGAAUUUCCUUAUAUCCGCCCCUGUUGCACAAUAAUGCGCUUCUUGUCUUACACACGGUAUAAGCCUGUCCUUGUCGAAUAGUAGCGUGCUCUUUAGCUAACACCUCCUUAGAUAUCACCUUGCACAUUCCAUUUACCUACAUACAUAUAUUCUUGUUGCUUUUACGCCAUUGAAACCAACUCCAACAGAUGACAGCACCGAAGUGACCAUAGAGAAAGAGGACAGUAUUGUGCGACAAGGACAGACAUACAGUGGCGGUCACAAGAAAGUUUUAAAUCGAGGCACUUUGAAUUGUGUACACUGUGUAACUUUUAUGCUAACAAUUUUUUACCAUAUUGAUAACAGUCACCUAUUCUAUCGUAUACGUUACGGUAGAACCUCGAUUAUUCAAAGCAAUGCGGAUUGGAUCGAAUAAACAGAAACUCUGGUAAUACGGAAAAGUCUAUCAAUAUUCGUAAAUCACAUAAUAAAAUCAGAAAAAACAUCUUGAUAAUGCAAUGUUGCAGAUGUGCAUAGAUUUAAUUAAUUAUUUAAUCGGUUAAAAGUUUGAUAAGAUGCUUACACAAUACCAAACUAUUUACGCAUUCGUACUCUUCGUGUUAAAAUUUCGAAAAGAAAAAAGUUAUGGUAAAAUUCAAAGCACCUCGGAUAAUACGGAACUUCGGUUAAAUGGGCCUCGAAUAAUCGAGACACCACUGCAUAUUUAUUCAUUGCUCUUAUUAAAUAUAAUUCCAUUUUGUAAAAUUAUUGUGUAUUUUUAUAUUUCUUACGGUAUAAAUUUCUUUCCCGCCACUGUAUGUACUCACGUCAGACAAAAAGAGCGAUAAUGUGUAGUAAGGAUAGCAAUAAUGCUUAGUUCGGUUUUUCACCACUACGUGGCGAUAGUGUUUCAAUGUCCUAUCCAUAAAUCGAACAAAUUUUCGUUAGUGAAAAAGAUUAAUUAAAAGCAUUAGCAUGCGAACUUCUGCAAUUGUAUCUGGCUAAUUGGACCCUCAACUUUCCUUUUUAUGUAAUUUGAACCUUGAUAUACAUUUGUAAGAAAGUAUAUAUUUUUUACGCAAAUAUUUUGAGACGAUACAAUGAACUUGCUCAUUAUUUACGUUAUAUCAAAUUGAUUUAUACACUUUUUCGGAUGCAAUACAACGCACAGUUUAAGUUUCUAUAAUUACGUAGAGUUGAACUACACAAAUUUUUAUACGUAUAGUACGUGGACGGAACAAAUGUUUAUAUUAUCCGGUACCAUGGCCCAGGUUUUCGCGCAUGAUUUGCUGGUAAAUUGACCGAGGAUUCCUUCCAAAAAGUAAAAAGGCAGUGAAAGGAAAUCUCCAUACAUUUCCUAGACCAACGGAAGCAGCGAUGCAAGCCAUUAGAAAUUCUAGACCACCUCCCCAUUCUAGUCUCUGAGAAAAAGAAGAAGUGAUGUGCAAAUUGGUUUUACCAUCAUCCAGUGGCGUAAUAUUGGGAUAAGUAGUUAGCAAGUAUAUGUUAAUCAGAAUAAUGGUAGAAAGAGACCUCGAAUGAAAAUCUCAAUAAUUAUAGAUAAAUACUAUUAAAAAUAUCCUGCUUCGCGAAAGGUUCAAUAUUUUAUAUUAGACUGUAAAUGUUUAUUUAUUUGUAAUAAUUGAAAUUAAUACAGGAUUUAAUUUCAGAGUGGGUCGCUGUAAAAAAGUUUAGAUUAGAAAAUUCGAAGAGCCAAAAAUUUAUAAGUUCAGAAAUUUGGAAAUUCUAUAGUUAAUAUAGCUUUAAUGUGAAAGUUUCAAAACUCGAAAAUUCCAAACUACAGAAGUUUAAAAAUUCCAAAAAUCAGAACUUCCGAAAUCCUACCGUUCAACAAUUCGAAAAUUUUGGAUCCCAGAAAGUUACAAGAUUCGAUAGUUUCAAAAUUCAGAGAUUUAAAAACUUCAAGAUGCAAAAGAAAACAAUGACAAAAAACUAUAUUAACCAAGUCCUUGUAAUUUGUUUCACGAACGCAAUGUUAAGAAGCGAAAUCCCAUC